This is a long non-coding RNA of Andrographis paniculata, 1967 nucleotides long. RefSeq lists it as uncharacterized. The transcript is spliced from 3 exons. The record is from RefSeq and is a predicted model, not a curated record. NCBI's taxonomy places the organism in Eukaryota, Viridiplantae, Streptophyta, Magnoliopsida, Lamiales, Acanthaceae.
UAGAAAUAUCAAAAACGGCUCUUCGAAGUGUCAAGCACUGAAAAGCUCAUGCGUUUCUCCGAUUGGUUGAGAAAUGGUUAUAGAUAAAUUAGCAUAAUUGCUUGGAUUAAUUUCUUCUGUCGUUUACAUUAAAGUUAAAGAUGAACAGAGCGGAUAUGAACAGCACAGAGGAUGUACAUCGAUCGUUAUCGAGUACAGGGGAAGCUGCAGAAGCAGAGCAACUGUAACACCAGCGAUCACGAAUUCACGACAUUGUCCGCCUCCUGUUCGACGAUUUGCCUCUGUGAAGCUUCGGUUUAAUCUCCAAUGGCGGUUUGAUCGCCAUUGCAGCAACUUCACCUUCUUCUUCACUCUCCCCAAUCCUGCUCCUUCGGAAAGCGCGAAUGAUCCCAAGCUUCUUCCAGCUGAAGUACGACGACGAUCCUCCACGCUUCUUCUUCUUCGUCUCAACCUGCAGCUUCUCCAUCUUCUUCUCCAUGGCAAUGCACUGGCUCUGCAGCCUCAGUACGUCUUCCUUGAGCCGCUUGAUCUCAGCUUGUUGAAUGUUCGUCUCGCGCUUGGACAGGCACCGAGUUGGGAUGUCGAGGCUGAGCGCAGAUGGACUGCGCGCUGCGCUCAGGGAGCCGCUCCAUUCGGCGUGCCUGCUAAGCUUUGUUUGUUCGGAGAGGAGCACUUGGAUGACGGCGCGCACAGGCAGCCGCUCGUUUUGUGCUGCAUGGAGGGACGCCUCGGUGGAGAGCUUCCGGCUGUCGAUCAGCUUGCAGAGCAUCUUUCGUUCUUGCUUUGGAAGCGAUGGAUGCGCCUACACAACAACAUCAAAAUAAGUCAUAUGUUACGCGAGGAUUGGGUCUUAGUCGGCUCGAUUGAAUACAACCUUGGGUGGAUCAUUAAUGUUACAUUCCAAAAGAGCUCCAUAAGUCGAAAAAUUCAGGUCAAUCUUCUUCCUUACUAAUUUAUUUACUUUCGCAUAUCUAUCGUUUAGCAGAUGCAUGUUACUUGAAGGGUAAAUUAACAUAAGUUUAUGUCCUUGUGCUAAGAACCUAAGACAUCUAUGGAUGAAAGAGCAACAAAACACCUAAUUCUUGGGAUGUAACAUAUCGAAUCGCUAUGAAAAUGUUGUUUCGAUGUUGAUAAACUUGUUUAUAGUGUUGACCGGACUUUACGACUAAGUAAAAGUUUGAUCACAAGUUUAUCUCAGGUCGAAUCUAGUUUAGUGAGGGUUAUGUAAGCCUCCACUCUUAUAGCGAGCUAAGCUUUUCAUGCCUUGAACCAUAAAUUCGAGUUACGACAACCUAAAGUUGUCGCUUUUACAAGUAGGAAGAGCGACUUUUCGUCGUGAAGAGGAUUUUGUAUUUCAAUAUAUGAAAAAAGAUUGCGAAGAAAAACCCAUAUAUUCUCAACUCUAGCUUAAGAAUCUUGUGUUGGUGACAACACAAAAUGGCCUCCCUUUAUAUGUCCUAUCUCUAUCCUAGUACUUUACCGGUGUCCGUUUUCCGGGGAAGGAAUUCGAACUUCUCUCUCAGUACAGCACUAAACUUGAGGAUAGAAAGAUAUGCUACAUUUUGUGUAGGGACUACGAGUCGAGAUAAAUGUGGUCCAAGGUUGUCCAAAGCUACCCGCGUGUGCAAGAAUCUCGCCAUUUUUCUCAGCGUAAAAAGGAUUACGAUAAAAAGAAAGGAUGUAGAGUGCUAACCUUGAGGUAGGUGUCGAUGGCGCGAUAAAGCCCAUCAUCCAUGGGGCGAGAAUGGCUCGGGAGAGCGCAAGCGAGCUCCAAAAACUCAGCCAAUGUCAGGCACGAGUCGACAGCUGCUUCAGCGAGGCGGAGGACGAGCUUGACGUCGAGCAAAGUCGUGGCCGUGUGGCUAAACGAUGGAAUCAUCAGCUCCUUCAACGAGGCCUGGUCGAGCUGCCAUGAAACCCGCCUCUCCAGCUCCAAACGGUAACCCGGCUCGAUGCGAACCAUGUUC